RNAcentral lists this long non-coding RNA (323 nucleotides) under Brassica rapa (field mustard). RNAcentral's name for it is "long non-coding RNA (BRAP_LNC001204)". The record is from RNAcentral. Lineage: Eukaryota; Viridiplantae; Streptophyta; Magnoliopsida; Brassicales; Brassicaceae.
CCGCAUUCUCUUUGUGACUUUAGACUACUCGUCAAACAACACAAAACGUGAGUGAUAAAACUUUGAACUACUAGAAACCCAGUGAUAGAAUCAAAAGCAAAGAACAAAGCUUCACUUGCAUACUGCAGAACUAUUGAAUAACCACAGAUCCAAGAACCAGUAGGCAAAUAGUUUGUGGUGCCAAAAUCGAACAUGUUAGAGCUAGAAGGAACCUGAUAACACCCGGAAUAGAACCUGCAUACUGCAGUAAAAGAGUUAUUGAAAGACUCAGGAGAACAAUUCUAGAAUCAAUGUGAUUUUUGUUAAACAAUUCUUGAAUCGCA